AUCAUAAGAGCAAUUACUGGCAGCUAGUGAGUUCAGUUUUGCUUAGUACGUGGUUCACAAAACAUCUACAAAACGAAUGUUGGAAUAUCAGAAGUGGGAUUAGGAACAACACUCAGAUCAAUAAAUUCGAGGGAGGGACGGGACGCACGGGUUUUAAUGCGGUUGUUUUUUUUGAACGAUGGAUCUAACCUUAAUAAUCGGUGA
Molecule: long non-coding RNA, 204 nt
Organism: Aricia agestis (brown argus)
Lineage: Eukaryota; Metazoa; Arthropoda; Insecta; Lepidoptera; Lycaenidae
Exons: 2
Source: RefSeq, a predicted model, not a curated record